UGUAGGUGAACAGACUUACAUUUGAUUUCAAGACGGGUAGACCCCGAUGAGCUUGAAUAGCGGUGUAUAUUUUUGACAAGGUAAUAAUUAACUUGGCAUUUUGUAGUAUACUUCUUCGGUUGGGAAAACCGAGGAGAUGAAUGAAACUCUUAAUUGUUGCGUGUGGUAAAUAUCAAGAUCUUUUACGAAAGAAAUUUUUUAUAAAGAAAAGCUACCGCGGGGAUAACAGCAUUGUCCUUUCGGAGAGAAUACAUUGAUGAAGGGGUUUGUGACCUCGAUUUUGGAUCAUAGGAUUUCUGG
RNAcentral lists this ribosomal RNA (300 nucleotides) under Neoancistrocrania sp. D1568. RNAcentral describes it as "partial 16S ribosomal RNA". It matches the Rfam family "Bacterial large subunit ribosomal RNA", at positions 2048 to 2551 of the family's 2925-position model. Lineage: Eukaryota; Metazoa; Brachiopoda; Craniata; Craniida; Craniidae. The record is from RNAcentral.